RNAcentral lists this ribosomal RNA (200 nucleotides) under uncultured bacterium. Its description in RNAcentral is "partial 16S ribosomal RNA". It matches the Rfam family "Bacterial small subunit ribosomal RNA", at positions 328 to 540 of the family's 1533-position model. The record is from RNAcentral.
ACGCUCGACACCUACUGGAGGCAGCAGUGGGGGAUAUUGCACAAUGGGGGAAACCCUGAUGCAGCAACGCCGCGUGAAGGAAGACGGUUUUCGGAUUGUAAACUUCUGUUCUUAGUGACGAUAAUGACGGUAGCUAAGGAGAAAGCUCCGGCUAACUACGUGCCANCAGCCGCGGUAAUCUGAGGCGGGCUGGCGAAGGC